This 80-nucleotide non-coding RNA is filed under the name unclassified sequences. Its description in RNAcentral is "c-di-GMP sequence". It matches the Rfam family "c-di-GMP-I-UAU riboswitch aptamer". The record is from Rfam by way of RNAcentral.
UAAGAUAAAUCCACACCCGUCGUGAGGCGAGUCCGGAAAGCCACGGGUCUUAAGAUUGAAAGAUAGCCGGGUUGUCAACA